AUUGUCUUUGGAACCCAAAAUAAAAGGAAUAACCAUCCCGGCCCAGUGAAUUAUUUAAACGGCCGCAGUACCCCUGACUGUGCAAAGGUAGCAUAAUCAUUUGCCUCUUAAUUAGAGGCUUGUAUGAACGGACACACGAGGCUCUCCCUUUAUUUGUCUUUUUAUGAAAAUUAGUAUAAAAGUGAAGAAACUUUUAUAAAAUUGAAAGACAAGAAGACCCUGUUGAGCUUAACUAUAGGCCUAGACAACCUACUAAGAUACUAGUUUAGUUGGGGCAACUAAAACUCAAUAAAGCACUAUAUAAUUAUUAAUAAUAUUAGACAUUAAGUCCUUUUAAUGACCCAUAAGAUCAAUAAACAUAGCUACCCCAGGGAUAACAGGCUAAUUUCUUUUGAGAGUACAAAUUGACAAAGAAGUUUGGCACCUCGAUGUUGGCUUAGGGUCCCCUAUUAGCGCAGCAGCUAAUUAGGUGAGAUUGUUCACCUCAUAAAACCCUACUGAUCUGAGUUC
RNAcentral lists this ribosomal RNA (510 nucleotides) under Fabrisabella vasculosa. Its description in RNAcentral is "partial 16S ribosomal RNA". It matches the Rfam family "Bacterial large subunit ribosomal RNA", at positions 1822 to 2612 of the family's 2925-position model. The record is from RNAcentral. Lineage: Eukaryota; Metazoa; Annelida; Polychaeta; Sabellida; Sabellidae.